Molecule: ribosomal RNA, 156 nt
Filed under: basidiomycete sp. OS-S65
Lineage: Eukaryota; Fungi; Basidiomycota
Description: 5.8S ribosomal RNA
Rfam family: 5.8S ribosomal RNA
About the family: 5.8S ribosomal RNA (5.8S rRNA) is a component of the large subunit of the eukaryotic ribosome. It is transcribed by RNA polymerase I as part of the 45S precursor that also contains 18S and 28S rRNA.
Source: RNAcentral
CACUUUCAGCAACGGAUCUCUUGGCUCUCGCAUCGAUGAAGAACGCAGCGAAAUGCGAUAAGUAAUGUGAAUUGCAGAAUUCAGUGAAUCAUCGAAUCUUUGAACGCACCUUGCGCUCCUUGGUAUUCCGAGGAGCAUGCCUGUUUGAGUCUCAUG